RNAcentral lists this ribosomal RNA (495 nucleotides) under uncultured bacterium. Its description in RNAcentral is "bacterial SSU rRNA". It matches the Rfam family "Bacterial small subunit ribosomal RNA", at positions 903 to 1397 of the family's 1533-position model. The record is from RNAcentral.
AAAUGAAUAGACGGGGGCCCGCACAAGCGGUGGAGUAUGUGGUUUAAUUCGACGCUACGCGAAGAACCUUACCGGGGCUUGACAUCCUUUGCAAUCUGUUGAAAGACAGAGUUCCCUUCGGGGACGAAGAGACAGGUGGUGCAUGGCUGUCGUCAGCUCGUGUCGUGAGAUGUUGGGUUAAGUCCCGCAACGAGCGCAACCCUUGUCCUUAGUUGCCAGCACGUUAAGGUGGGCACUCUAGGGAGACUGCCGGUGACAAACCGGAGGAAGGUGGGGAUGACGUCAAGUCAUCAUGCCCCUUAUGUUCCGGGCUACACACGUACUACAAUGGUCUGUACAGAGGGUUGCGAAGCCGCGAGGUGGAGCCAAUCCCAGAAAGCAGAUCUCAGUUCGGAUUGCAGGCUGAAACCCGCCUGCAUGAAGUUGGAAUCGCUAGUAAUCGCAGGUCAGCAUACUGCGGUGAAUACGUUCCCGGGCCUUGUACACACCGCCCGU